UUGGGGAAGCAAAAUUAACAUCAAAAUACAAACAACACCAGGACAAUCCUCAGCCCUCUCCACCAAGUAUUUCAAGCAGGACAUCUCAUUGAACCUCGUCAUUUUGUUUAGGAUGGCUAGUGAGCUCCUGCAGGGGGCCUGUCUGCUCCCCAGCCCUGGAAUUACAUGGGCAUCUCCAUCUUUUACAUGGGUGCGACGGUUCAAAACUCUUGGUUCUCCUGCUUGUGCUCCAAGCACUUUACUUACUGAUCAAUUUAUUUCUCCAGCCCCUUGUCCUACUCCCUUGAUGUCCUCCCUCCCCCAUUCUGUAAAACAGAAGCCAGGUACUGUGGCAAACACCUUUAAUACCAGUACCCAAGAGUCAGAGGCAGGCUGAUCUCUGAGUUCUAGGUCAGCUUCUACAGAGGGAGUACCAGGACAGCCAGGUAGAGAUCCUGUAAAUUAAAAAAAAAA
Molecule: long non-coding RNA, 453 nt
Filed under: Rattus norvegicus (Norway rat)
Lineage: Eukaryota; Metazoa; Chordata; Mammalia; Rodentia; Muridae
Description: long non-coding RNA NONRATT010517
Source: RNAcentral